Molecule: ribosomal RNA, 409 nt
Filed under: uncultured bacterium
Lineage: Bacteria
Description: bacterial SSU rRNA
Rfam family: Bacterial small subunit ribosomal RNA
Source: RNAcentral
CGGGAUUGGAUGGGGGGAACCCUGAUCAGCCUGCCGCGUGUGUGAAGAAGGCCUUUUGGUUGUAAAGCACUUUAAGCGAGGAGGAGGCUACUUGGAUUAAUACUCUGAGAUAGUGGACGUUACUCGCAGAAUAAGCACCGGCUAACUCUGUGCCAGCAGCCGCGGUAAUACAGAGGGUGCAAGCGUUAAUCGGAUUUACUGGGCGUAAAGCGUGCGUAGGUGGCCAAUUAAGUCAAAUGUGAAAUCCCUGAGCUUAACUUAGGAAUUGCAUUCGAUACUGGUUGGCUAGAGUAUGGGAGAGGAUGGUAGAAUUCCAGGUGUAGCGGUGAAAUGCGUAGAGAUCUGGAGGAAUACCGAUGGCGAAGGCAGCCAUCUGGCCUAAUACUGACACUGAGGUACGAAAGCAUGG